UUGCUCACAGAGCAUGUACCAAAACAUACUCUAGUCUUAACACUUUCUCCUCCCUUUUUUAGCAUGCAAACAGCAGCUGCUGUUUGGAAGGACAGCCUUAAGAAGCCAACAGGAGCAGAAGCAGCAACAUUGCCAAUGGUCCUAAUCCAGUAUGCAACAGUGUGUAAGGAAAAUACAAGGAAGCUGGUUAAAGCCUGCGGUCUGCUCUACUGGAUUCCCCACCGUGCAUGCAAAACCAGAUCUGUGUUCUGGCAGAGAUCUUAAGGAAAGACAAGGUGGAAGAAUGAGGCAUCUGUGUUUGCCAAAUGGAAAAUACAUUACCAUGGAGAUACUACAUUUGAAUGUCAAUACUGGCCAAAAGAACAGAGGGAAAGCCAACUCUGACCUAAUGAAAACUGCUGAAUAAUGUUUGGAAGGCAGAAUCUGCGUGUGUUAAUGC
This is a long non-coding RNA of Cygnus olor (mute swan), 439 nucleotides long. RefSeq lists it as uncharacterized. NCBI's taxonomy places the organism in Eukaryota, Metazoa, Chordata, Aves, Anseriformes, Anatidae. The transcript is spliced from 3 exons. The record is from RefSeq and is a predicted model, not a curated record.